Molecule: transfer-messenger RNA, 101 nt
Filed under: Gammaproteobacteria bacterium
Lineage: Bacteria; Pseudomonadati; Pseudomonadota; Gammaproteobacteria
Description: partial transfer-messenger RNA
Rfam family: transfer-messenger RNA
About the family: Bacterial tmRNA, also known as 10Sa RNA or SsrA, is named for its dual tRNA and mRNA-like properties. Its role is to liberate the mRNA from a stalled ribosome.
Source: RNAcentral
GGGGACGACUUGGCUUCGACGUGGGUCGCGAAACCUGAGGUGCAUGCCGAGAAUGUAGGGAAUCUCGUAAACUCUCCUGCAAAUUAUAGUUGCCAACGACG